RNAcentral lists this ribosomal RNA (487 nucleotides) under uncultured bacterium. Its description in RNAcentral is "bacterial SSU rRNA". It matches the Rfam family "Bacterial small subunit ribosomal RNA", at positions 29 to 499 of the family's 1533-position model. The record is from RNAcentral.
AACAAACGCUGGCGGCGUGCCUAACACAUGCAAGUCGAACGUGAAAGGGGCUUCGGCCCUGAGUAAAGUGGCGCACGGGUGAGUAACGCGUGGAUAAUCUGCCCCUCAGUUGGGAAUAACCUACCGAAAGGUGGGCUAAUACCGAAUAAUGCUGUAUGACCCCGGUCUUACAGCCAAAGAGGGCCUCUGCUCGCAAGCUCUCGCUGAGGGAUGAGUCCGCGUACCAUUAGCUAGUUGGUAGGGUAAUGGCCUACCAAGGCGACGAUGGUUAGCUGGUCUGAGAGGAUGAUCAGCCACACUGGAACUGAGACACGGUCCAGACUCCUACGGGAGCAGCAGUGAGGAAUCUUGCGCAAUGGGGAACCCUGACGCAGCAACGCCGCGUGAGUGAGGAAGGCCUUCGGGUCGUAAAGCUCGUGUCGGGUGGGAAGAAAUGUAGUGGGUGCUAAUACCAUCCAUACUUGACGUACGCCAAGAGCACCGCCAC